RNAcentral lists this RNase P RNA (321 nucleotides) under Pseudomonadota bacterium. RNAcentral's name for it is "RNase P RNA component class A". It matches the Rfam family "Bacterial RNase P class A". Rfam says of the family: Ribonuclease P (RNase P) is a ubiquitous endoribonuclease, found in archaea, bacteria and eukarya as well as chloroplasts and mitochondria. Its best characterised activity is the generation of mature 5'-ends of tRNAs by cleaving the 5'-leader elements of precursor-tRNAs. The record is from RNAcentral. Lineage: Bacteria; Pseudomonadati; Pseudomonadota.
GAAGCCCGCCAGGCCGCCGCUGGUGCAAGUCUCGAAAGAGCGCACUGGAGGAACGUCCGGACUGCACAGGGUAAGCGCAGGAGCUAACGGCUCUCCACCGUGAGGUGAGGAUCAGAGCAACAGAGACGAGCCUAUUUAAGUUAGGGUGAAACGGGCAAUCUCUGCGCGCAGCAACACCAAGUAGGCCAGCGAUGAGGCGACCCGCUGAGCUGGCGGGUAGGUGGCACCGAGCCGCACGGGCGACCGGCGGCCCAGAUUGAUGGCGGUCACAUGCCGGGCAACCGGCAUGCACAGAAUCCGGCGUAUCGGCGGGCUUCACAC